CAAUCACUAUUUGUAAUUGAAACCCUAACUAUCAAAAAGUGAUUCUGAUUCCAUCAAUCUUGCCUAAAAUCUGAUGUGUUCUUCGAUCUAAACAGGUUGACAUGGAGGACACAUUCAAUCCACUAUCUGAGAUAACGUAGCUGAGUGAAGCAUCUUUGUAGAUUGCAGCCUUGCGUGAACCGGAUGAAGAUGUAUAUGAGGAACCAAUAGUGGACAUUGAUGAUGUUGGCAAGAAUUAUCACCUUGCAGUGGUGGAAGAGAUGUUUCUCAUCCUGUAAACAUUGAUCAACCAACCUCCAUGCAGUUUGAAUAAUCUCACUAAACCAGUAGGUGUGGGCUAUGAAAUUUAACAUGAAUCGGUCGCGACAGGUUGCGAACCCGUUCUCUUUUACACCAUUCUACUUUUGGUGCAAUGUUUUUUUGAUGCUCAACACGUGCCUUUGGUCUUAGAGCUCAUGUGUUCAGUUUUUGUUGUUUAUGUUUUUAGGUUUGUGGCAUUGUUAACUUAAUUUUUCACUGUUCGUUAGGUGA
Molecule: long non-coding RNA, 531 nt
Organism: Helianthus annuus (common sunflower)
Lineage: Eukaryota; Viridiplantae; Streptophyta; Magnoliopsida; Asterales; Asteraceae
Exons: 3
Source: RefSeq, a predicted model, not a curated record